UCAUUAUUUUUCUGCAGAGAUGGCACAAAAAUAAAAACCACAGCAUCUUUUAAAGGUGACUGGGAAAGAAGAACUAGCAUUGCCAGAAAUUGCAGCACAACCAUUGUGCUAAUCUAAUACUUAAGAGGCUUCAUGAUGGAAGAAUACAGUAUACCUGGUGAUCUCAACCCAAGUGUGCUCACCUGUUGUCGAUAAACAUAGCAUGCUGCUAUGGCAACCAUUGUCGACUCUCCUAUGAAGCCGGCCAGGAGGGAACCAACCCCGAGUGUGGCCCCGUGAACCCUGAAAUACAAAGGAUUAUUUUAGAAGUGUGGAAGUAAAUCAUUCUCCUGUUUGAUCUUGUCAGGGGAAAAAAGAAAGAAGAACAUUUUACCAGAAUAACGCACAAUACCAUAUGAAAUAACACAGUAAGCCUGAGUCACAGUGCUGACCUUUGUGACCCUGACGUUCUCUGAAGUGUUGACUUACCCCAUAUAAGGCAGCACAACUAGACUGGUGAUGAGGACAAUGAUGCGGAGAACCGAGCUGGGGGCCAGCACAAAGGUCUUUUUCAGGGUCAUGAGCCAUCCAGUCAAAUGAGCCCGAACCGUCA
Molecule: long non-coding RNA, 592 nt
Organism: Sander lucioperca (pikeperch)
Lineage: Eukaryota; Metazoa; Chordata; Actinopteri; Perciformes; Percidae
Exons: 2
Source: RefSeq, a predicted model, not a curated record